RNAcentral lists this ribosomal RNA (253 nucleotides) under uncultured bacterium. RNAcentral's name for it is "partial 16S ribosomal RNA". It matches the Rfam family "Bacterial small subunit ribosomal RNA", at positions 524 to 776 of the family's 1533-position model. The record is from RNAcentral.
UACGUAGGUGGCAAGCGUUGUCCGGAAUUAUUGGGCGUAAAGCGCGCGCAGGCGGCCUUUUAAGUCUGAUGUGAAAUCUUGCGGCUCAACCGCAAGCGGCCAUUGGAAACUGGGAGGCUUGAGUACAGAAGAGGAGAGUGGAAUUCCACGUGUAGCGGUGAAAUGCGUAGAUAUGCGGAGGAACACCAGUGGCGAAGGCGACUCUCUGGUCUGUAACUGACGCUGAGGCGCGAAAGCGUGGGGAGCAAACAGG